UGGGGAAUAUUGCACAAUGGAGGGAACUCUGAUGCAGCGACGCCGCGUGAACGAAGAAGGCUUUCGAGUCGUAAAGUUCUUUUAUAUGGGAAGAUAAUGACGGUACCAUAAGAAAAAGCCCCGGCUAACUACGUGCCAGCAGCCGCUGUAAUACGUAGGUCCCGAGCGUUGUCCGGAUUUAUUGGGCGUAAAGCGAGCGCAGGCGGUUAGAUAAGUCUGAAGUUAAAGGCAGUGGCUCAACCAUUGUAGGCUUUGGAAACUGUUUAACUUGAGUGCAGAAGGGGAGAGUGGAAUUCCAGGUGUAGCGGUGAAAUGCGUAGAGAUAUGGAGGAACACCGGUGGCGAAAGCGGCUCUCUGGUCUGUAACUGACGCUGAGGCUCGAAAGCGUGGGGAGCGAACAGG
Molecule: ribosomal RNA, 403 nt
Filed under: Bacteroidota bacterium
Lineage: Bacteria; Pseudomonadati; Bacteroidota
Description: Bacteroidetes bacterium partial 16S ribosomal RNA
Rfam family: Bacterial small subunit ribosomal RNA
Source: RNAcentral